CAAUAGCGUAUAUUUAAGUUGUUGCAGUUAAAAAGCUCGUAGUUGGAUUUCGGUUAAGAGCGACCGGUCCGCCGCUUGGUGUGCACUGGUUGGUUUUAACUUCCUGUAGAGGACGUGCUCUGGGUUUAACGACCUGGACUCGGAGUCUACGUGGUUACUUUGAAAAAAUUAGAGUGUUCAAAGCGGGCUUACGCUUGAAUAUUUCAGCAUGGAAUAACACUAUAGGACUCCUGUCCUAUUUCGUUGGUCUCGGGACGGGAGUAAUGAUUAAGAGGAACAGUUGGGGGCAUUCGUAUUUCAUUGUCAGAGGUGAAAUUCUUGGAUUUAUGAAAGACGAACUUCUGCGAAAGCAUUUGCCAAGGAUGUUUUCAUUA
RNAcentral lists this ribosomal RNA (374 nucleotides) under uncultured eukaryote. Its description in RNAcentral is "partial 18S ribosomal RNA". It matches the Rfam family "Eukaryotic small subunit ribosomal RNA", at positions 592 to 975 of the family's 1831-position model. The record is from RNAcentral.